RNAcentral lists this ribosomal RNA (1036 nucleotides) under Escherichia coli. RNAcentral describes it as "partial 23S ribosomal RNA". It matches the Rfam family "Bacterial large subunit ribosomal RNA", at positions 1196 to 2215 of the family's 2925-position model. Lineage: Bacteria; Pseudomonadati; Pseudomonadota; Gammaproteobacteria; Enterobacterales; Enterobacteriaceae. The record is from RNAcentral.
GAAGCUGCGGCAGCGACGCUGAUGCGUUGUUGGGUAGGGGAGCGUUCUGUAAGCCUGCGAAGGUGUGCUGUGAGGCAUGCUGGAGGUAUCAGAAGUGCGAAUGCUGACAUAAGUAACGAUAAAGCGGGUGAAAAGCCCGCUCGCCGGAAGACCAAGGGUUCCUGUCCAACGUUAAUCGGGGCAGGGUGAGUCGACCCCUAAGGCGAGGCCGAAAGGCGUAGUCGAUGGGAAACAGGUUAAUAUUCCUGUGCUUGGUGUUACUGCGAAGGGGGGACGGAGAAGGCUAUGUUGGCCGGGCGACGGUUGUCCCGGUUUAAGCGUGUAGGCUGGUUUUCCAGGCAAAUCCGGAAAAUCAAGGCUGAGGCGUGAUGACGAGGCACUACGGUGCUGAAGCAACAAAUGCCCUGCUUCCAGGAAAAGCCUCUAAGCAUCAGGUAACAUCAAAUCGUACCCCAAACCGACACAGGUGGUCAGGUAGAGAAUACCAAGGCGCUUGAGAGAACUCGGGUGAAGGAACUAGGCAAAAUGGUGCCGUAACUUCGGGAGAAGGCACGCUGAUAUGUAGGUGAAGUCCCUCGCGGAUGGAGCUGAAAUCAGUCGAAGAUACCAGCUGGCUGCAACUGUUUAUUAAAAACACAGCACUGUGCAAACACGAAAGUGGACGUAUACGGUGUGACGCCUGCCCGGUGCCGGAAGGUUAAUUGAUGGGGUCAGCGCAAGCGAAGCUCUUGAUCGAAGCCCCGGUAAACGGCGGCCGUAACUAUAACGGUCCUAAGGUAGCGAAAUUCCUUGUCGGGUAAGUUCCGACCUGCACGAAUGGCGUAAUGAUGGCCAGGCUGUCUCCACCCGAGACUCAGUGAAAUUGAACUCGCUGUGAAGAUGCAGUGUACCCGCGGCAAGACGGAAAGACCCCGUGAACCUUUACUAUAGCUUGACACUGAACAUUGAGCCUUGAUGUGUAGGAUAGGUGGGAGGCUUUGAAGUGUGGACGCCAGUCUGCAUGGAGCCGACCUUGAAAUACCACCCUUUAAUGUUU